This is a long non-coding RNA of Sciurus carolinensis (gray squirrel), 2306 nucleotides long. RefSeq lists it as uncharacterized. The transcript is spliced from 5 exons. The record is from RefSeq and is a predicted model, not a curated record. Lineage: Eukaryota; Metazoa; Chordata; Mammalia; Rodentia; Sciuridae.
UUUAGGCACAUCCCAGCUAUUCCCAGCUCUCUCUGGUUGCAAAGGUAACGUGGCUUUGAGCAGUCUUGACCCUGGACUUGCCUGGGGAAGUCCCUUCUUCCAACAGGGGGAUGAUUCUAGCUGGAGCCCAGCUGGGGCACGUGGAUUGGGACCAAGAGGACAAGUUUGAGAAUCAAGGGGCUCUGGGCAAAGGGAAACUGUCCCCAGAGGAAACAUUAGAGAAGAACUGAAGACUCAUCUAUGCCAAGGUUUCUCCUGGAAUGAACUUAUCCAAAUUAGCCAUUUUGGACCUUUGCCUAUUUUAAAAUUAGAAUGCUAUCUUUUUAUUUUUUAAUGGGAACAUUUUGUCUGCCAGGUACACUGCUGAUAUUUUUCUCAAUAUGAUAGUCAUCUUUUAACUUUGUUUAUAGAAUCUUUCACUGUGCCUAAGUUUUAAUAUGAAAUCAAUCCUGAAAGCACAGAUAAAAGAAAUGACUUUCUAUUAUGAAAGAUUGAAAAAAUGAUUAUCUUUUUUCUCCUGGGAUCUAUGCCUUUUGAAAUCCAACUUUGCUGCUUCUCCCAUCAAGAGAUAGCAACUAUUUCCUUGCUUGUGACCUGCAACUGGCCAAGGAACUGUGGCAGAAUUAACAAUGUGUAUCAUUGCUCUCUUUUGAAACCUUACCUCUGCCAUGUGAAAAACCUAGACUGGCUGGCUGAAGACAAGAGACAUGAGGCCCAGUUACCCUCGCUGAUACUACCGUCCAGCACAGGUGGAUAUGGAAGACAUGACAGGUGUUCACCUAAGAGAAAGGAAUACCUGCAUCCACUCAAAGACUUGUACGUGAGUAUUCACAGCAGCUCUGCUCGCAAUAUCCAAGCACUGGGGCACAACCCAAACGUCCAUCAGCAGGCUGGAAGAGCCCUUUGUGUGUGGUGUCAGUCACAGAGCUCCUUCAGACAAGAAGCUAGGGAGGCUGGAUUUCUCUGACUCCCUCACUUGCCGACCAUGGUCCUUUCGCCAGGAGCUUCUACAGAUACUGACCAACAAAGGACAGAUUCUUAGCCCUGACGAGCAGGGGCAAGCAGUCCCCGAGUCUCCAAAGGCUGCCAUCUCCAGACCACAGGUGGCUGAUUUGAACCUCAGAAGGCGUCUCCUCACCGUCGGGAGCUGCGAGUCCAAGAAGGAGCUAUGGCCGUGUUGCUGUCAUCCUGAGGCCUCUCUCCCCGGCUUGCAGAUGGCCGUUAUGCCUGGUGGCUUCACGUGGUCUUCCCUCUCGGGGGUCUGUGUUCUAAUCUCCCCUUCUUACAGGACACCAGUCACACUGGAUCAGGGCCCAACCCCAUGUUUUAACCAUGACCUCUUUAAAGAGCUUUCUCCAAAUACAGUCCCAUUCUGAGGUUCUGGGGUCAGGACGUCAACAUACGCCCUACCAGGCAUAAGAUUUCUGCAGUAGCCAAUACUGGAAAGCAUACGGGGUGCUGCCUCGACAUUGACCCCACCGGGGGUGGGGUGGGGUGUCAGAGAAGAGAAGAGCGAACGUGUCAUUCACCCACGGUACAGACAGCAAGCCAGGAGCACCUUCGAUGAACCGUGCGCUCAUGAGGACGUGGCGUCUCUCAGUGCUCGAUCCUGAGGGAAGAAAUGCUCCUUAGAUUCACGGUGGGAACGCAGCUCAUCCCCAGAGAUGAGGCCACCUCUUCCUGGGGACCCCCAUCCCUCCCCUCCCAGCUCCCGCUGUGUCCUGCCAGAGGUGCGGGCGGACCUCAGAGCAUCCUCACAGGGGCCAGCUCACCUGGCAGGUCUCCUCACACUGCGGCGACACUCUGCAUUUACUUGUCCUUUCCCUAGACCAGGUCUUUCCUCUUCUGUUUCCUCCGCACCUGGUCCAGUUCUUGUCACGUAGUAGAUGGUCACUAAAUGAGCAGGUCGCUGUGUUUCCAGUAUCCUUCUCAGCGAAGGCCAGCGGACUGCUCCAGGACGCAUGUGCUCACUGACAGAGGUCCGCGCCCAGCCACAGAAUCACGCGCGGAGCUGUUGGGAGAAUCGGGAACAUCGAAAUCCCACUAAGCGCCAUUACCUCAGCGUGUGUCACACAAGCACUCACGCAGGGACAAAAUGCCGAUGUGUCAAACGGUUUGUUUCCAUGAUCCUUACGUGAGGCAUAAGAAUGAACUCAAAGUGAUGGCGCAAACUCUGGCCAUAUUGCCUCAGUGUGAGACCCAUUUCUAUCAUUUUAUUUUUUUGCAGUUUUUUUCUUUUAAUUUUUUACAGACAGCAUUUUGAUUCAUUGUACACAAAUGGGGUACAUCAUUUCGUUUCUAUAGUU